GUCGUAACAAGGUUUUCGUAGGUGAACCUGCGGAAGG
Molecule: ribosomal RNA, 37 nt
Filed under: Otodectes cynotis (ear mite)
Lineage: Eukaryota; Metazoa; Arthropoda; Arachnida; Sarcoptiformes; Psoroptidae
Description: partial 18S ribosomal RNA
Source: RNAcentral